CAUCCAUCCCGAGCGGCUGAGAGACCUGGCUCGAAGACGCCGCAGCAACCACCCCGUGGGGGGCAGGUGCUACCGCCAGGAGCGAUGGAGG
Molecule: regulatory RNA element, 91 nt
Organism: Actinokineospora bangkokensis
Lineage: Bacteria; Bacillati; Actinomycetota; Actinomycetes; Pseudonocardiales; Pseudonocardiaceae
Rfam family: SAM riboswitch aptamer (S box leader)
About the family: The SAM riboswitch is found upstream of a number of genes which code for proteins involved in methionine or cysteine biosynthesis in Gram-positive bacteria.
Source: Rfam